This 410-nucleotide ribosomal RNA is filed under the name uncultured bacterium. RNAcentral describes it as "bacterial SSU rRNA". It matches the Rfam family "Bacterial small subunit ribosomal RNA", at positions 355 to 775 of the family's 1533-position model. The record is from RNAcentral.
UCGAGGAUCUUCGGCAAUGGGCGCAAGCCUGACCGAGCGAUGCCGCGUGUGCGACGAAGGCCUUCGGGUUGUAAAGCACUGUCGAGAGGGAGAAAAGCGAAAGCUUGAUCUAUCUCUGGAGGAAGGGCGGGCUAAGUUCGUGCCAGCAGCCGCGGUAAGACGAACCGCCCGAACGUUAUUCGGAAUCACUGGGCUUAAAGGGAGCGUAGGCGGGCUGCCAAGUCCGGGGUGAAAUCCUCCAGCUUAACUGGAGAACUGCCUCGGAUACUGGAAGUCUCGAGGAGGGUAGGGGCAAGUGGAACCGUGGGUGGAGCGGUGAAAUGCGUUGAUAUCCAUGGGAACUCCGGUGGCGAAGGCGACUUGCUGGACCCUUUCUGACGCUGAGGCUCGAAAGCCAGGGGAGCAAACGG